This 77-nucleotide transfer RNA is filed under the name Paraburkholderia pallida. RNAcentral's name for it is "Paraburkholderia sp. 7MH5 tRNA-Arg". Lineage: Bacteria; Pseudomonadati; Pseudomonadota; Betaproteobacteria; Burkholderiales; Burkholderiaceae. The record is from RNAcentral.
GCGCCAGUUCGCCUUGCGAGUCGGGCAGCGGCCUUCUGAGCUGAGGGUCGGGCGUUCGAGCCCCUCCUGUCGCGCCA